Molecule: transfer RNA, 72 nt
Filed under: Bos taurus (domestic cattle)
Lineage: Eukaryota; Metazoa; Chordata; Mammalia; Artiodactyla; Bovidae
Also listed under: 4 other names
Rfam family: tRNA
About the family: Transfer RNA (tRNA) molecules are approximately 80 nucleotides in length. Their secondary structure includes four short double-helical elements and three loops (D, anti-codon, and T loops).
Source: Rfam by way of RNAcentral
UCCCCAAUGGCUUAGAUGAUAAAGAAUCCACCUGCAAUGUGGGAGACCUGGGUUCGAUCCCUGGAUAGGGAA